Molecule: long non-coding RNA, 2988 nt
Organism: Dermochelys coriacea (leatherback sea turtle)
Lineage: Eukaryota; Metazoa; Chordata; Testudines; Dermochelyidae
Exons: 3
Source: RefSeq, a predicted model, not a curated record
CAACAACAAAAUUGCUCCCAACUUUGUAUGCCAAGUUCAAGUCUGGAGUGACUAUUUUUAGUGCCCUUCAACGGAAUAUACUCUGGAGUUUUAUCUUCUAUAGAUUCUUUAAGGUUGAGUCAGCUGCUUGAACAUGCUGGUGCUAGGACACUGUUUCUAAAGGUGAAAUUGCUCCUGAAUUGAACAAAACAUUUCAAGGUCAAGCACAAAGUAGAUAUUACAUAUCCUUAUGUAAAUAAUAAAUAGAACAUUCAAGCUAUGUGCAACCUAUUUACAAAAAUAUGUACUGAAUCUUGGUACAGCUGAUACCAUACUUGCAAAUAACAAGCCAAAUUCAUCCUUGCUUUAAUUUUAUGUAUUUAUUUAACUGUUAUCUGCAGCCUCAGCAUACAACCAAAAUUAUAGCAGUUGCAAUUUUAGACAUAUUACCGGAUUUUCUAAUGCACAUAGAUAUACAUGUGUAUUUCUUCUUAAAGGUAGUGGAAGUUCUUUGCAUGUUAUGAGACUUAACCUAUACAUAUAUAACCAUAAUACUUUAUAUACAUAAAGUUUUUCUUCCUGAGAGAUACCAAAGAAUCCAGUAUGAAAAUGCUCUGGGAUGAAAUGGUAUAGCUGUUUUAAGCAUAGAGCAACACUAUACAAUAGAUUAGAACAAGAAGAGAAGAAUAAUAUUGAAUACUUUUGAUUGAAACUGAAGAAUACAAUUAUGCAAAUUGGAAAUUUGUUUUAUAAUCUGGGCAUCCCUCUCUCUAAAACCAUUAUAUGCAGGCUGUGUCUGAAUGUUGCAAUUUCUUCCUGUAUAACAUCUCCAAGAUCCAGCCUUUCCAUUCCAUCCACACACCUAAAACACUUUUAUCCACAUCCUCCUUCUUGCACUUUGACUAUUGAAAUCUCCUCCUCUCUGGCCUUCAUACCCUACUUAUAUCCAUUCAAAACACUGCUGUAAAGAUCACCUUCCUCUCCCUUCUUGCAUUCCUCCUGUCUCCGUUUUUUUUCCACUGCAUCAUGAACAAACUGUCUUUCACCUUAAGACCCUUCUAGUCUACUCCAGCCCUACCCAUCGUCUCUUACAUGCUACAGAGAUUUAAACUCCCACUGCACCAACAAUACCCUCCUUGAUUGCCCAUUUGUCAAAAUUUUGGAUAAACAGUCUUGUGCUUUUUCUGAUGCCUCUACAUUAGACACUGUAAGAACUUCCUGUAAAUAUCUGUAACACACUCUGUUAUACUCCUUUCAGUUUCUCCUAAAAAACAACCUCUGUCAUGAUGUUUCCAAAAUGCUUCACAAUAGUGAGGCAAGUGGUAUCUGUGACUGCUGUUUAUUACACUGGUCAUAACUGACUCACAGUAAUUGUCUUCACACUGUCUUUUGUCUUAAAAUGGGGAUCUUUGGGACAGGGACCAUCUCUUUGUUAUAUUUUUUUUUGUUCUGUGUCUAGCACAAUGGGGCGCUGGCCCCCAAGAACUAUGGUGAUAUAAAUUAUUUAUAAUAAUAGCAUCAGUGAUAUACACCUACCAUUUACACAGGCAUGUUGAUUGCAAGACCAGCUCAAAGAUACUGUAGUUCAUUUACUUUUUUUUCUGUCUUAUUAAGAACAGCCUAUUGAGAGAGUUUAUUAAUUAAACAUGGACUCAGAAAGCACCCAAGCAGUGGAAUUACAGCAUUUUGAAACAAGAGCUCCAAUCUUUUUUUGAUAAAUGCUGAUGUCUUCUGUACCCACCAGGGACUUUCCACGAGGGCAGUUGUGACAAACAUCUCAACGCUGAUAUUCAGAAUUGAAAGCCUUAGGCUACAAAGAAAAUGUCAAUAAAGGCUAGAAACAGCAGACAGCUACAAUCUAUGUGCUACUUGUAAUCCAUCUGUGAGCAAGUCCCAGGGCUCUCUAAAAGGGACAACAGCUGGUCACCUUCAAAGAGAACAUGGUUACAAAAUAGCUCCAUAAUUUUUUUUGUUUUAUUACAAUCCCAUUAUUGUUAGUCCAUUGUUUUGUGUGUGUUUUGUUUUUGAAUGGUCUUGGCCUCAUCCUGCAAAGUACUGAGCAGUACCUGUGAAUUCAGUGGGAGUUGAGAGGGAACAUUGUAUCUUUCUGGAUGGGUCCCUUUUCUAGGGAAAAUUUGAACCCUACUUUUCUUAGGGCUCUUAAUUCUCUGUCUCACUCUCUCUUUUUAAAAUCCGCCCCCGAAACAUAUAACUAGAGCCUAAUCAUCCUGUCAGCUGCAUGAAUGCAACACUCAGCUGACUGGAUGAUCUGGCCCAGGGACUCUGACUCUAUGGCUUCAGUGGUUACAGGUUUUCAGAAGCUUAUAUCAUCACUUCAGUUUCCAAUGCUAGUCCUCCCCCGGCAAGUCUGUGCUAUCCAACUGCCUGACUCUGCCAGCUUAUUAGUGAAAAGUACAUGAGAGUGAGUGCUCCUCCUCGAUUGUAGGGCUCAGUCUUACAGCCCUUACAUCUAUGUGGAGGAAAGCCAGGCCAUGUGAAUAAAUACACAUGGAGGGCUGCUGCUAAGGCACCAUGAUCAAAGAAAGAAACUUGUUUAGUCAGGACUGUUUCAGCACUGCUCAUAUUUUUCUGGCAGGGAAGGGAUGCAAACCAUACUGAGAACAUGUAUUUAUGGGUAGGCACAAAUCAGAUACUUCUGGUUUUAAUAUUUAUCCAAAAAUUGCACUAUUAUAUUGAUUUUUUUUUUAAAUGUAGGAACAUUUUUAGGAUUACAUGCGAAUCUACUUUAAAACCUAUGUGUGAUUUACAGCAGUGCACUUACUUUAUAUGGAGUAUUAUGUGAAGAAACUUUUGAAUGGGCACCUACACAAUGUUCAUUUUAGGGAAGUUUUUAAGAAUACAUGCGUUUACUUCAUUCUCAAUGUUCAGCUCUUGCUCUGGCAGGUCAUAGGAAGAGCGGGGCUCCACGCAUCAUAAAAUACAAAUCUGACUGAAACAGCAGAUGCGGUUGGUGAUUAUUUAGGCCUCCUAAGCCUAGGUUUUUUGUUU